This is a long non-coding RNA of Hemicordylus capensis (graceful crag lizard), 2821 nucleotides long. RefSeq lists it as uncharacterized. The record is from RefSeq and is a predicted model, not a curated record. NCBI's taxonomy places the organism in Eukaryota, Metazoa, Chordata, Lepidosauria, Squamata, Cordylidae. The transcript is spliced from 3 exons.
GCAGAAGGAGAAAAUGGAGUUGUUUCUGAAUAAGCUCUUAGUUAAAUCUACAUAAGAUUUAUUUGUGUUUGUGAGGGAAGCAGUUGCAAAACAUUUGGCGACGAGAUUUUGAACUAGUGAAGCAUGUGAGGCUGCAUAGCUUGUGAAUGUUCCUGCAACUUUAGUUCAUUAUAUCACUGGGCCUUCAUUCCUGAACUGCUUUGUACUAUCGCUGCUGCUGAUUGUUUCUCCAGUUUCCAGGGCCUUUCUACAGCAGGCUUUACCAUAGGUUUAAGAGGGGAGAAAUACUGUGAGUUAUGGGGCAUAUCAGAUAUUUCAAAUGUACCCAAAAAUCCGAGGCAAAAAGUGGAUUUUUUUUUUUACCCCAGACAUAAAUCAGUCUAGGCUCCAAUGCACAAUGAAAAACCCAAAUUGAGUAUGGGUAUGGAGUGCUCCCCAAUGCUUGCGAGGACUUCUAUAUAAAUCUGGACAAUAUGUGAACACACAACUGCCUUUCCAAAUUAAAAUCACCAUCUGGCAGGGCUCCUGACCUGCACAACCCCUGAAAAUAUUUUUCCCCCUUAUCAAUCCUGGACUCUGUCAUUCACUGGAUGCCCACUGCAACAUGGCUCAGAUCCCACCACAACUGUUUUUCUUGUCUACCCCAGGAGAACCUGCUCUUCCCUGGAAACAACAGAAGUCCUAGUUCUGCAAUUACCUCCUCACCAUACAGACCCCUGAUUUUACUCCAGCAAAGCAGAAGGUUAUAUUGCUUCACUGUCUGAGCCCUGGAGGCCAAAGAAAAUAUAAUCAUUUGCCCUUUCCUGCCAACUUGGAAGAGGAUGCCAGUUCUUAUGAAGCUGCUCUUCAAGCCUUAGAUGAUCAUUUCAACCUUGCUUUGAAUGUGAUAGCUGAACAUUGCAAGCUCUAUUCUAGAUCCGAACUGCCUGAGAAAUGUCAGUUUUGCACACACUUUGUGACAUACUUGGGACACACAAUAUGUCAGAGUGGCUUACAUCCAAAGAAAGGUGAAAGCUAUCCGGGAAGCACCACAGCCACACCACAAGGAUGCACUUCACUUGUACUUUAAGUACUCUGUGGAAUAUCUUCCAGAUCUUCAGAAUACAACUGCAGAUGAUUUAUCUCAACUUCCACUUCCAGGCUAUGGGGAGAUCCCAGAAGAUGAAGAUAAAGCAGUAGUAAUUGCACAAAUUGCUUCGUCGACCCGUUGAGUGAUUACGUCUUCUGAAUGGAAAGCGGCCCUCAGUUCUGAUCAAGUGUUUACUGAACUUGAUUUUAUGAUCAAGUACUUGAUCUUAUGUACUUGAUCAAAUAUUUAUGAACCUAACAUAACUAAUGGAUGGUCAUGCAAAAACAAGUACCUGAACAUCUUCAACUAUACAUGCACGUAGUAAGUGAGCUGUCUCUUCUGAAUGAGCUAGUGCUGCAGACUGAUUGUUUUAUGGUGCCAACUUCCUUACAAGCAAAAGGAAUCAAAAUUGCCCACAAAGGUCAUCUGGGCCUUUUCUUGAUUAAAAGGCGAAUCUGAAAAAGGUUUUUGGUGGCCAGGUAUGGACAAACACAUUGAAAAUGUAAUCAGGCACUGUAUGGCUUGCAAAUUACAGAAGACUUUUACCACCUCCUUGACUCCAGUAGAGUAUCCCAGUGGUCCCUGGGAAAAACCUGCUCUGGAUAUUAUGGGGCCUUUUGAUAACCAACCUGCAAAACCAAGAUUUGUUAUAGUGAUGGUGGAUUACUGUUCCAGUGGCCAGAAGCUUCAUUUGCUGACAACAUUUCUACAAACAAGGAGAUUCAGUUCAUGGCUGCAGCUUUUGCAAGGGGAGGUCUUCCUAAAAAAACUAGUGACUGACAAUGGGACACAGCUUAUUUUAUUUGAAAUGGAGUGAUACUUGCAUAACCCAGGAGGGAGGGAUCACAAGUCUCUUUCCUUGUACCAUCCUCAUGAAAAUGGCUUAAUGGAAAGAAUGAACACAUUAAUGAAAUGGAGUGGAACUGGAUUGGAAUUUGAUCUUUCCUCCAGUUUUUACCUCAUAGAUUAGACUGAUGAAAGUGAUGGACAAUCCUUGGUACCACAGCUCCUGUGCCAGAGAACUCAAGACUUAGAGAAGGGUGUGUGGCAGGAGACUACCUAAAAGACUUCAAGACUUUGUCACUGAAUUUUAAAUUAAUUCAGUUUUGGUUGAUAUAGAGGGAAGGGAUGUGUUGUAUUCUAUUUAGAAAUCUUUUAUGUUGAGUUGUUGAGAAGGUUGUCCCAGGGAUCAUGUAGAGAGUGUGGGGGGUAGAGGCAGUAAUGAGAAGGGUGGGAAAGGAGAAGGAAGAAAGAGAGUUGUUUCUGAAUAAACUUUUAGUUAAAUCUACAUAAGAUUUCUUUGUAUCUGUGAGGGAAGCAACUAUAAAACAGAGGUAUACAAGUGAGGCUUUUCAUCUUCCUACAAAAUAAUGAAGCAUGAAUGACUAUUUCAUUUUAUAAAUAAGAUUAUGGAAGAGUUAUAUAGGCAAUUGCAUGUGUUUGGCAAACCCCCAAGUUAAAAUCAUUCUAGUCUCCUCUAUAAACAGUUCCAUUGUUGGCUACCAAGAAAAGAUGAUUUUUUUUAAAACAACCCUAUGAGGCUGUUCUCACAUGCAGCCUAACCCAGGCUAGAGAAGCCCAGCCUGGGUUAGGCUGCGCGUGAGAACCACCGGGAUUGGGCCCAAUCCCAGUGGGGCAGUGCUGCCUAGCUUGGUUUUUUAGACUGGCCUUUAGCCUGGGUUAAUGAUGUCAAUGUGCUGUUAGCCUACGCUCCAGGAUUGUGUGUCUCCUAGGGCUUUGCUUAACCUGUGG